RNAcentral lists this ribosomal RNA (260 nucleotides) under Acinetobacter baumannii. RNAcentral's name for it is "partial 16S ribosomal RNA". It matches the Rfam family "Bacterial small subunit ribosomal RNA", at positions 1 to 263 of the family's 1533-position model. The record is from RNAcentral. RNAcentral also lists the same sequence under 1 other name. Lineage: Bacteria; Pseudomonadati; Pseudomonadota; Gammaproteobacteria; Moraxellales; Moraxellaceae.
UAACUGAAGAGUUUGAUCAUGGCUCAGAUUGAACGCUGGCGGCAGGCUUAACACAUGCAAGUCGAGCGGGGGAAGGUAGCUUGCUACUGGACCUAGCGGCGGACGGGUGAGUAAUGCUUAGGAAUCUGCCUAUUAGUGGGGGACAACAUCUCGAAAGGGAUGCUAAUACCGCAUACGUCCUACGGGAGAAAGCAGGGGAUCUUCGGACCUUGCGCUAAUAGAUGAGCCUAAGUCGGAUUAGCUAGUUGGUGGGGUAAAGG